CCCCCCCCUCCCCCACACCCAGACCCCUGUGCCAAGAUGCCGUGGCUGAGGAGGGAUCUGCGAAGUCCCCACUAUCUCCAGCAUCUGCAGUCCAUUGACUUAUUCAGGCAUACAAUGUCUGACUCAUUACCAAGAACAGAUCUGGUAACAGCAUUCUUUCUUGUUGGGGUAUAUUCAAAACAGAGUGGCCAACCCUUGAUGACUGUCCUGGACUCUCCAGAAAUGGAAGAUUAAUUUCUGUGAUUAUGCGUCAACGCAAGAGUCACAAAUGUUGCUGCAGACUGUGCAAUCAUCAGUGAUCAUUCCCACUUCUGACUUUAUGGAAGGAGGGUCGUUAAGGAAGCAACUGAAGGUGGUUGGGCCCAGGCCGCUACUCUGGGGAACUCCUGUGGUGAUAUCCUGCAGCUGAGAUGACUGACUUCCAACAACCACAACAAUCUGUCUGUAUGCUAGGUAUGACCCUACUUAGUAGAGAUAUUUUUCCAAUUCUCAGUGACUCUACAAUGAAUAAAUAGCUACUUGAAAGGGUAGAUAUAAGACAAAACCUGGCUAAUUGGUGCUUUUACUGGAUGUUGAUGCAGCGCAUUUUGAUCUCCUCUUGCACGCAAUGCCAAGGACCCUUUGGAUCUACUUGAAAUGUCUUAAGACAUUGUGCUCAAUUUAUAUUUCACGGAGACGCUCCUGAUAGAUGGCUGAUUUCCAGAUUGGGAACGUGAAAACAGCCAUGAUGAAAUUUUCAAAGAGCCUGCAAGUUAAUGGGUCGGCUUCAAGAGUCCUAUGCAAUAUUGCUGGGUCAAAAUUCUGCAACUCACUGCUAGCAUCAUGGGUAGAGGACAGGGAUGUAGAAUUUGUGCCAAUUUCUGAGGUUUUUAUGCUAAUAACUUUAUCAUGUUGCUUCUUGAAUAACUUUAAAUAUUUAAUAUCUGGCCACCACCUAACAAAUUUUAAAAAUAAAAUUUAGAAGGCCAUGAAUAACAGAAUAAUGCUAGUAUAGAUUUUUGUAAAAAUAAUCUGACUUUGACUGGGCACAA
Stegostoma tigrinum is the source of this 1031-nucleotide long non-coding RNA. RefSeq lists it as uncharacterized. The record is from RefSeq and is a predicted model, not a curated record. Lineage: Eukaryota; Metazoa; Chordata; Chondrichthyes; Orectolobiformes; Stegostomatidae. The transcript is spliced from 3 exons.